This 301-nucleotide ribosomal RNA is filed under the name uncultured bacterium. RNAcentral's name for it is "partial 16S ribosomal RNA". It matches the Rfam family "Bacterial small subunit ribosomal RNA", at positions 509 to 807 of the family's 1533-position model. The record is from RNAcentral.
CAGUAGCCGCGGGAAUACGGAGGGUGCAAGCGUUAAUCGGAAUUACUGGGCGUAAAGCGCACGCAGGCGGUCUGUCAAGUCGGAUGUGAAAUCCCCGGGCUCAACCUGGGAACUGCAUUCGAAACUGGCAGGCUAGAGUCUUGUAGAGGGGGGUAGAAUUCCAGGUGUAGCGGUGAAAUGCGUAGAGAUCUGGAGGAAUACCGGUGGCGAAGGCGGCCCCCUGGACAAAGACUGACGCUCAGGUGCGAAAGCGUGGGGAGCAAACAGGAUUAGAGACCCCAGUAGUCCCUGUCUCUUAUAC